UGAUACAGCACUGGCACUGACUGUCUGUUU
This 30-nucleotide non-coding RNA is filed under the name Rattus norvegicus (Norway rat). The record is from RNAcentral. Lineage: Eukaryota; Metazoa; Chordata; Mammalia; Rodentia; Muridae.